This 1532-nucleotide ribosomal RNA is filed under the name Lactobacillus sp. T1R2C3. Its description in RNAcentral is "partial 16S ribosomal RNA". It matches the Rfam family "Bacterial small subunit ribosomal RNA". The record is from RNAcentral. Lineage: Bacteria; Bacillati; Bacillota; Bacilli; Lactobacillales; Lactobacillaceae.
GAUUAGAGUUUGAUCCUGGCUCAGGACGAACGCUGGCGGCGUGCCUAAUACAUGCAAGUCGAACGAACUCUGGUAUUGAUUGGUGCUUGCAUCAUGAUUUACAUUUGAGUGAGUGGCGAACUGGUGAGUAACACGUGGGAAACCUGCCCAGAAGCGGGGGAUAACACCUGGAAACAGAUGCUAACACCGCAUAACAACUUGGACCGCAUGGUCCGAGCUUGAAAGAUGGCUUCGGCUAUCACUUUUGGAUGGUCCCGCGGCGUAUUAGCUAGAUGGUGGGGUAACGGCUCACCAUGGCAAUGAUACGUAGCCGACCUGAGAGGGUAAUCGGCCACAUUGGGACUGAGACACGGCCCAAACUCCUACGGGAGGCAGCAGUAGGGAAUCUUCCACAAUGGACGAAAGUCUGAUGGAGCAACGCCGCGUGAGUGAAGAAGGGUUUCGGCUCGUAAAACUCUGUUGUUAAAGAAGAACAUAUCUGAGAGUAACUGUUCAGGUAUUGACGGUAUUUAACCAGAAAGCCACGGCUAACUACGUGCCAGCAGCCGCGGUAAUACGUAGGUGGCAAGCGUUGUCCGGAUUUAUUGGGCGUAAAGCGAGCGCAGGCGGUUUUUUAAGUCUGAUGUGAAAGCCUUCGGCUCAACCGAAGAAGUGCAUCGGAAACUGGGAAACUUGAGUGCAGAAGAGGACAGUGGAACUCCAUGUGUAGCGGUGAAAUGCGUAGAUAUAUGGAAGAACACCAGUGGCGAAGGCGGCUGUCUGGUCUGUAACUGACGCUGAGGCUCGAAAGUAUGGGUAGCAAACAGGAUUAGAUACCCUGGUAGUCCAUACCGUAAACGAUGAAUGCUAAGUGUUGGAGGGUUUCCGCCCUUCAGUGCUGCAGCUAACGCAUUAAGCAUUCCGCCUGGGGAGUACGGCCGCAAGGCUGAAACUCAAAGGAAUUGACGGGGGCCCGCACAAGCGGUGGAGCAUGUGGUUUAAUUCGAAGCUACGCGAAGAACCUUACCAGGUCUUGACAUACUAUGCAAAUCUAAGAGAUUAGACGUUCCCUUCGGGGACAUGGAUACAGGUGGUGCAUGGUUGUCGUCAGCUCGUGUCGUGAGAUGUUGGGUUAAGUCCCGCAACGAGCGCAACCCUUAUUAUCAGUUGCCAGCAUUAAGUUGGGCACUCUGGUGAGACUGCCGGUGACAAACCGGAGGAAGGUGGGGAUGACGUCAAAUCAUCAUGCCCCUUAUGACCUGGGCUACACACGUGCUACAAUGGAUGGUACAACGAGUUGCGAACUCGCGAGAGUAAGCUAAUCUCUUAAAGCCAUUCUCAGUUCGGAUUGUAGGCUGCAACUCGCCUACAUGAAGUCGGAAUCGCUAGUAAUCGCGGAUCAGCAUGCCGCGGUGAAUACGUUCCCGGGCCUUGUACACACCGCCCGUCACACCAUGAGAGUUUGUAACACCCAAAGUCGGUGGGGUAACCUUUUAGGAACCAGCCGCCUAAGGUGGGACAGAUGAUUAGGGUGAAGUCGUAACAAGGUAACC